AAGGCCUUCGGGUUGUAAAGCACUGUCGAGGGGAAGAAAGCCGCAAGGUUGAUCGACCCCUGGAGGAAGCACGGGCUAAGUUCGUGC
Molecule: ribosomal RNA, 87 nt
Filed under: uncultured bacterium
Lineage: Bacteria
Description: partial 16S ribosomal RNA
Source: RNAcentral